UUGUUGGUGAGGUAAUGGCUCACCAAGGCGACGAUCAGUAGCGGGUCUGAGAGGAUGAUCCGUCACACUGGAACUGAGACACGGUCCAGACUCCUACGGGAGGCAGCAGUGGGGAAUUUUGGACAAUGGGGGCAACCCUGAUCCAGCCAUUCCGCGUGAGUGAAGAAGGCCUUCGGGUUGUAAAGCUCUUUCAGCCGGAACGAAACGGUAUUCCUUAAUACGGGAUGCUAAUGACGGUACCGGCAGAAGAAGCACCGGCUAACUACGUGCCAGCAGCCGCGGUAAUACGUAGGGUGCGAGCGUUAAUCGGAAUUACUGGGCGUAAAGCGUGCGCAGGCGGAUUGUUAAGCAAGAUGUGAAAUCCCCGGGCUUAACCUGGGAAUGGCAUUUUGAACUGGCAGUCUAGAGUGUGUCAGAGGGGGGUGGAAUUCCACGUGUAGCAGUGAAAUGCGUAGAUAUGUGGAGGAACACCAAUGGCGAAGGCAGCCCCCUGGGAUAACACUGACGCUCAUGUACGAAAGCGUGGGUAGCAAACAGGAUUAGAUACCCUGGUAGUCCACGCCCUAAACGAUGUCAACUGGUUGUUGGGGGAGUGAAAUCCCUUAGUAACGAAGCUAACGCGUGAAGUUGACCGCCUGGGGAGUACGGUCGCAAGAUUAAAACUCAAAGGAAUUGACGGGGACCCGCACAAGCGGUGGAUGAUGUGGAUUAAUUCGAUGCAACGCGAAAAACCUUACCUACCCUUGACAUGUCCAGAAUCCUGCAGAGAUGCGGGAGUGCCCGAAAGGGAAUUGGAACACAGGUGCUGCAUGGCUGUCGUCAGCUCGUGUCGUGAGAUGUUGGGUUAAGUCCCGCAACGAGCGCAACCCUUAUCAUUAGUUGCUACGCAAGGGCACUCUAAUGAAACUGCCGG
RNAcentral lists this ribosomal RNA (913 nucleotides) under uncultured bacterium. Its description in RNAcentral is "bacterial SSU rRNA". It matches the Rfam family "Bacterial small subunit ribosomal RNA", at positions 246 to 1155 of the family's 1533-position model. The record is from RNAcentral.